AAACUUCACAAUGUGCGAAAGCGCGAUGAGGGAAUCCCAAGUGCUUGCUCGUAAGAGUAAGCUGUUUUUAUGUCUAAAAAGCAUUAAGAGUAAGGGCUGGGUAAGACGGGUGCCAGCCGCCGCGGUAAUACCUGCAGCUCAAGUGGUGAUCACUAUUAUUGGGCCUAAAACGUUCGUAGCCGGUUUGGUAAAUGCCUGGGUAAAUCGUGUAGCUUAACUAUACGAAUUCCGGGUAGACUGCUAAACUUGAGACCGGGAGAGGCUAGAGGUACUCCUGGGGUAGAGGUGAAAUUCUGUAAUCCUGGGGGGACCACCAGUGGCGAAGGCGUCUAGCUAGAACGGGUCUGACGGUGAGGGACGAAGCCCUGGGGCGCAAACCGGAUUAGAUACCCGGGUAGUCCAGGGUGUAAACGCUGCUUGCUUGAUGUUAGUUGGGCUCCGAGCCCAAUUAGUGUCGGAGAGAAGUUGUUAAGCAAGCUGCCUGGAAGUACGUCGCAAGACU
Molecule: ribosomal RNA, 502 nt
Filed under: uncultured archaeon
Lineage: Archaea
Description: bacterial SSU rRNA
Rfam family: Archaeal small subunit ribosomal RNA
Source: RNAcentral